GUAGGGAAUAUUGCGCAAUGGGGGAAACCCUGACGCAGCGACGCCGCGUGAGUGAUGAAGGCCUUCGGGUCGUAACGCUCUGUUGCAGGGGAAUAAAAAAAUGAAGGUACCCUGUGAGGAAGGAUCGGCUAACUUCGUGCCAGCAGCCGCGGUAAGACGAGGGAUCCUAGCGUUGCUCGGAAUCAUUGGGCGUAAAGAGGGCGUAGGUGGCUUGGUAAGUCAGGUGUGAAAGCCCAGGGCUCAACCCUGGAAGUGCAUUUGAUACUGCUGAGCUUGAGUGUCGGAGAGGUUACCGGAAUACCUGGUGUAGUGGUGAAAUACGUAGAUAUCAGGUGGAACACCGGAGGCGAAGGCGGGUAACUGGACGAACACUGACACUGAGGCCCGAAAGCGUGGGGAUCAAACAGGAUUAGAAACCCGGGUAGUCC
This 428-nucleotide ribosomal RNA is filed under the name uncultured bacterium. Its description in RNAcentral is "partial 16S ribosomal RNA". It matches the Rfam family "Bacterial small subunit ribosomal RNA", at positions 354 to 796 of the family's 1533-position model. The record is from RNAcentral.